Molecule: long non-coding RNA, 604 nt
Organism: Bubalus bubalis (water buffalo)
Lineage: Eukaryota; Metazoa; Chordata; Mammalia; Artiodactyla; Bovidae
Exons: 2
Source: RefSeq, a predicted model, not a curated record
GCGGGCGCCGCGGACGGGCGUAGGCGGAGCGGGUGGACGCCGCGCGCAGGGUCGCGGGCCCCGGCACGUGUGCGGCCCGCGGCAAAGACUCCCUGAGACCACGCACCCUGGGGCCUCAAGGCGCGGCGACUCGAGAGGAGUGCGGAGGUUUCCAAGUCCGCAGUGGCCUUUUCGGGCCGACCAUCGCUGUGAUGAGAAUCCCGAAGCCCCGCGACCACGGACCUCGGCGUUCUCUGCGUCACAGUCGGGCCUGUGGCCACCGCCGCGCGGUUCUCUGCUGCUUGCCCUCCGAGACAGUUACGUGGAAGGGGCGUGCGGCCCUGGAAGCGGGACUCCGCCAGGGAGACUACGAAGGACCUUAGACGUCCCGGGGGUCCUCAGGGCCCUGUCCGCUUCUGCUGCCUUUCACAGUUGCUGGGUGCUGAGCGUUCUGCUAGAAAUUUUGCUUCUGAUUGGUUUUGGCGCACUUAUCUCAGCGCCUGCGAAGGGAAUGAGGCCCUUGACGCUGUGCCUGUGAAGGUUCACGCCAGUUGUGCUUGAGUGUACCGUUUUCCUCUGCGGUGCCUUUGAUUAUUCAGGGAUAAUAAAACUAUGGCCAAACGGG